UUCCUACGGGACGCAGCAGUAGGGAAUCUUCCACAAUGGGCGAAAGCCUGAUGGAGCAACGCCGCGUGGGUGAAGAAGGUCUUCGGAUCGUAAAACCCUGUUGUUAGAGAAGAAAGUGCGUGAGAGCAACUGUUCACGUUUCGACGGUAUCUAACCAGAAAGCCACGGCUAACUACGUGCCAGCAGCCGCGGUAAUACGUAGGUGGCAAGCGUUAUCCGGAUUUAUUGGGCGUAAAGGGAACGCAGGCGGUCUUUUAAGUCUGAUGUUAAGACCUUCGGCUUAACCGGAGUAGUGCACUGGAAAU
RNAcentral lists this ribosomal RNA (305 nucleotides) under uncultured bacterium. RNAcentral describes it as "bacterial SSU rRNA". It matches the Rfam family "Bacterial small subunit ribosomal RNA", at positions 336 to 633 of the family's 1533-position model. The record is from RNAcentral.